Molecule: long non-coding RNA, 846 nt
Filed under: Olea europaea subsp. europaea
Lineage: Eukaryota; Viridiplantae; Streptophyta; Magnoliopsida; Lamiales; Oleaceae
Source: RNAcentral
ACGCACGUAUUAUUCAUUCUCUACUGCAUCCCAUUAUAGAGAGUAAAAGGAGACUGCGUGUAGAUUUGGAAGAUUAUACCGCGAAAUUCAUAUUGCAUUAACUAUGUCUGAUUCAGGUACGUUUCUGCUUUAAUUCUUAUAUUUCUUGAUGAUUUAACAUGAAAGAUUCAGUAAUUUAAAACACAAAAUCAUACAACAUAUUAUUCUUCCACGAUUCAUUAACCAUUGUUAUACGCCCGGAAAAAGAUUGAACGACUUUUAAACAGAAGGGUACUUGUAUUCGAAAUCGACACAAUGGGGAGGUGGAGAAUACCUAUGAGCGCGAGACAACACUUUUUAAGGAACUCGUCAAAUCAGGAUGUUUGAUCGUACUCAAAGAAAGACGAGUUGAUAGAUAGAGUGAAAUUGUGGACAUAUGCAUGUGGUGUGAAUUACGAGUCCAGUCCACAUGUGCCAUCUGACUGACUUUGUGAUCAAAACUCUUAAAAGCAGCAAGCUGGAGACAGCUCAAACCAUAACAACCCACAUGAAGAUUACUAUUCUUUUUUCAAGAAAGCUGUGGCAUUUCAUUCCUGCCCCUAAAUUAAAGAUGACUCCCUUCCUAGCUUUGAUUCAUUAUCAUCGUCAAAUCGUCAAGUCGAAUUAUCACCAAUUCGCAUCAACACGAUCCAAAGAGUCUAUCGCAAAGCGGAUUGCUUGCCCAUUCACCUUCAGGUGUGAUUCAAAGAAGCCACAGUAAAUCGAAUAAAAGUAUUGAUUUAUAUCCACAAUUAUUGACAUAUAAAUUGAAAAAGAAGGUAGGUAUAGAUAAGAGAGAGUUGGCAGACAGAUAGGAUUGGAUUACUG